UCUGAGGAAUGACGAAAAGAAAGGCCGAAUUACAGCACCUCCCUCGGCAGGUUUCUCUCUGUGCAGGAGGUGCAAUGACAAAACUCCUUGAAGCGAACUAUCAACUGACCUCCGC
Molecule: non-coding RNA, 115 nt
Organism: Xenopus laevis (African clawed frog)
Lineage: Eukaryota; Metazoa; Chordata; Amphibia; Anura; Pipidae
Source: Rfam